UGGGCAACCUGCCCUCAGCUCUGGGAUAACCCCGGGAAACCGGGGCUAAUACCGGAUACGACCUCCACGGGCAUCUGUGGAGGUGGAAAGGGUUUCCGGCUGAGGAUGGGCCCGCGGCCUAUCAGCUUGUUGGUGGGGUGACGGCCCACCAAGGCGACGACGGGUAGCCGGCCUGAGAGGGCGACCGGCCACACUGGGACUGAGACACGGCCCAGACUCCUACGGGAGGCA
RNAcentral lists this ribosomal RNA (231 nucleotides) under uncultured bacterium. Its description in RNAcentral is "partial 16S ribosomal RNA". It matches the Rfam family "Bacterial small subunit ribosomal RNA", at positions 118 to 350 of the family's 1533-position model. The record is from RNAcentral.